AGAACGAACGCUGGCGGCAUGCCUAAUACAUGCAAGUCGAACGAACACUUCGGUGUUAGUGGCGCACGGGUGCGUAACGCGUGGGAAUCUGCCCUUGGGUUCGGAAUAACAGUUGGAAACGACUGCUAAUACCGGAUGAUGACGAAAGUCCAAAGAUUUAUCGCCCAGGGAUGAGCCCGCGUAGGAUUAGCUAGUUGGUGAGGUAAAGGCUCACCAAGGCGACGAUCCUUAGCUGGUCUGAGAGGAUGAUCAGCCACACUGGGACUGAGACACGGCCCAGACUCCGUACGGGAGCAG
Molecule: ribosomal RNA, 297 nt
Filed under: uncultured soil bacterium
Lineage: Bacteria
Description: partial 16S ribosomal RNA
Rfam family: Bacterial small subunit ribosomal RNA
Source: RNAcentral